Molecule: long non-coding RNA, 859 nt
Filed under: Scleropages formosus (Asian bonytongue)
Lineage: Eukaryota; Metazoa; Chordata; Actinopteri; Osteoglossiformes; Osteoglossidae
Description: lncRNA (ENSSFOG00015018247.2)
Source: RNAcentral
CCUGGAGCUGAAAUGGUCUCGUGUAGAGCUGUCAGCGACGUGUUUCCGUGUUUGUGAGAACAUGGGGGUGUUGCCCCUUCAAGUGACACGCACCGGGAACAGCGCAGACCCUGCCUAUGUCAGCAUCCAGGUGGAAGAGGGCACUGCCAAAGUGGGGAAAGAUUUUACUCAUAGCUCAGCCAGUUUGAUCCAGUUUGAUACAGGGGUCAAUAUCAAAAGUUGGAAAAUCAAUCUUAAGGAUGACGGACUGGAGGAGAACCAUGAGAACUUUGAGGUGGUCUUGAAAGCGCAGAAGAAUGCAGUUCUGGGUCAGAAAAACCGAGCAACUGUAGAAAUUGUGGACCCCAGAGGAGGGAGUUGUGACCCACAUGAGUUAAUAGUUGAGGAGGAGCAGAAACAGACCCAACCAUUUCCUCCCCCUCCUGUCCACAUACCACCUUCACGCCCUGAGGAAGCGCAGGUCCCCUACUCACAAGCAGAUUUCCCCUCGGAAGACCACCGGCCUCCUCUUUGGGGAGACAUCCCGAAACGUCACCCCUUCCCGGACUACACUGCGGGAGAGGUACAGGAUCAGGCCUACCCAAGUGCACGGAGGAGGCAACUGAGAGUCCUGGGCAACCAGGAGCACAAAUCACAGAAGAACCUCCUGUCAGAGAUUGAGCUGAGGAAUGGAGAGAAAAUCUGGAAGUUCCAUGGGAUAAGUCCCCUGAGGGUGGAGGAGGAGGAAGACCCUUUGAUUGUCAAACCGGUGCCCCAAGGCCACACAGAGGUGGAGGUCACUCCUAUCUGGACCUGGUCUGAACAUCUCCUUCACCGAGAGCCAGUGGGAGAGGACCCACAGGGUGACUCCCCUCGACCU